UUAGCCUUAAAAAACGAUCAUGC
RNAcentral lists this non-coding RNA (23 nucleotides) under Gossypium hirsutum (cotton). Lineage: Eukaryota; Viridiplantae; Streptophyta; Magnoliopsida; Malvales; Malvaceae. The record is from RNAcentral.